AAUCUAAAUGUGAAUAACUAUACUCCAAUAUAUCUUUGAUAUUUUGACCACUAAUUGUCAUAUCCAUUGGCUUAUCUGGAUAUGGGUAU
This 89-nucleotide transfer RNA is filed under the name Staphylococcus aureus. RNAcentral describes it as "tRNA-Ser-GCT". The record is from RNAcentral. Lineage: Bacteria; Bacillati; Bacillota; Bacilli; Caryophanales; Staphylococcaceae.